UUGAGCAAGGGCCAUAGAACCCUUACCAUUACUGAAACUCAGUAAUGGUAACGGUUUGACGGCCCUCCUCAGC
This 73-nucleotide microRNA precursor is filed under the name Xyrichtys novacula (pearly razorfish). Lineage: Eukaryota; Metazoa; Chordata; Actinopteri; Labriformes; Labridae. The record is from RNAcentral.